AAGUUUGAGGAUCAAGACUUUCCAUUUAUGGCAGGUUUCAGUUACAGGCCCAGUUUCCAUUUUGGGAAAUUCAUGAUCUGGCUUCAAAUUCUUCCAUGAUGGUGUUUGGCAUGAUAUAUGAUGACUAUUUGGACAUGAAUGAACUCUCACAAACCAAUUCCAAUCAUCCAAUCACUGAUUAAAUGGACAGUUGACCAACAGUUGACUUUUAGGGUUUCUGACUGAUUAUGCAUUGACUGAUGACUUCCAAACCCUAAUUCCUUGAGGACUUGACUUCAAAUGAUGUCCCAAGUUGUAUGAACUCUUGAUUAUUGAUCAUGGUGCCCAAAUUCCACAAGAAUGACCACCAUCCACUGCUUUGACUGACAGUUGAC
RNAcentral lists this long non-coding RNA (374 nucleotides) under Lathyrus oleraceus (garden pea). RNAcentral's name for it is "Pisum sativum (pea) long non-coding RNA (PSAT_LNC003039)". The record is from RNAcentral. Lineage: Eukaryota; Viridiplantae; Streptophyta; Magnoliopsida; Fabales; Fabaceae.